Molecule: ribosomal RNA, 158 nt
Filed under: Grammothele lineata
Lineage: Eukaryota; Fungi; Basidiomycota; Agaricomycetes; Polyporales; Polyporaceae
Description: 5.8S ribosomal RNA
Rfam family: 5.8S ribosomal RNA
About the family: 5.8S ribosomal RNA (5.8S rRNA) is a component of the large subunit of the eukaryotic ribosome. It is transcribed by RNA polymerase I as part of the 45S precursor that also contains 18S and 28S rRNA. Functionally, it is thought that 5.8S rRNA may be involved in ribosome translocation.
Source: RNAcentral
CAACUUUCAGCAACGGAUCUCUUGGCUCUCGCAUCGAUGAAGAACGCAGCGAAAUGCGAUAAGUAAUGUGAAUUGCAGAAUUCAGUGAAUCAUCGAAUCUUUGAACGCACCUUGCGCUCCCCGGUAUUCCGAGGAGCAUGCCUGUUUGAGUGUCGUGA